UACGUAGGUGGCAAGCGUUGUCCGGAUUUACUGGGCGUAAAGAGCGCGCAGGCGGUCGUUCAAGUCGCGUGUGAAAGCCCCCGGCUCAACUGGGGAGGGUCACGCGAUACUGAUCGACUCGAAGGCAGGAGAGGGAAGCGGAAUUCCCGGUGUAGUGGUGAAAUGCGUAGAUAUCGGGAGGAACACCAGUGGCGAAGGCGGCUUUCUGGCCUGUUCUUGACGCUGAGGCGCGAAAGCCAGGGGAGCAAACGGG
RNAcentral lists this ribosomal RNA (253 nucleotides) under uncultured bacterium. Its description in RNAcentral is "partial 16S ribosomal RNA". It matches the Rfam family "Bacterial small subunit ribosomal RNA", at positions 524 to 776 of the family's 1533-position model. The record is from RNAcentral.